AGCCUAUGAUGGUGUAAGAGUAGUGGACAGAAAGGAUUUCUGAGAAAUUAUAUGCUGAGGCU
Molecule: small nucleolar RNA, 62 nt
Filed under: Dasypus novemcinctus (nine-banded armadillo)
Lineage: Eukaryota; Metazoa; Chordata; Mammalia; Cingulata; Dasypodidae
Description: Small nucleolar RNA SNORD75 (ENSDNOG00000026062.1)
Rfam family: Small nucleolar RNA SNORD75
About the family: U75 (SNORD75) belongs to the C/D class of snoRNAs which contain the C (UGAUGA) and D (CUGA) box motifs. Most of the members of the box C/D family function in directing site-specific 2'-O-methylation of substrate RNAs.
Source: RNAcentral